GUAAUCGCAGAUCAGCAUGCUGCGGUGAAUACGUUCCCGGGCCUUGUACACACCGCCCGUCACACCAUGGGAGUCGGUAACACCCGAAGUCGGUAGCCUAACCGUAAGGAGGGCGCCGCCGAAGGUGGGAUUGAUGACUGGGGUGGAAGUCGUAACAAGGUAUC
This 164-nucleotide ribosomal RNA is filed under the name uncultured bacterium. RNAcentral's name for it is "partial 16S ribosomal RNA". It matches the Rfam family "Bacterial small subunit ribosomal RNA", at positions 1338 to 1500 of the family's 1533-position model. The record is from RNAcentral.